This 77-nucleotide transfer RNA is filed under the name Candidatus Rokubacteria bacterium RIFCSPHIGHO2_02_FULL_73_26. RNAcentral describes it as "tRNA-Arg". It matches the Rfam family "tRNA". From Rfam's summary of the family: Transfer RNA (tRNA) molecules are approximately 80 nucleotides in length. Their secondary structure includes four short double-helical elements and three loops (D, anti-codon, and T loops). Further hydrogen bonds mediate the characteristic L-shaped molecular structure. tRNAs have two regions of fundamental functional importance: the anti-codon, which is responsible for specific mRNA codon recognition, and the 3' end, to which the tRNAs corresponding amino acid is attached (by aminoacyl-tRNA synthetases). tRNAs cope with the degeneracy of the genetic code in two manners: having more than one tRNA (with a specific anti-codon) for a particular amino acid; and 'wobble' base-pairing, i.e. permitting non-standard base-pairing at the 3rd anti-codon position. Lineage: Bacteria; Candidatus Rokuibacteriota. RNAcentral also lists the same sequence under 3 other names. The record is from RNAcentral.
GCGCCUGCAGCUCGGCUGGACGGAGCGUCGGACUUCUGAUCCGAGGGUCGCAGGUUCGACUCCUGCCGGGCGCCCCA